GGGGGCGACCAGAAGAUUCGUUCAUUCAUUAUUCCACUUUAAAAAAAAAAAGGAAAAAAGUGAAUUAAAACAAUGCAAUUUUGGAAAAAAACACAGAAACUUUUACCAAAACCUUUAUUCAGGACACGUUCACACAGACCAGGAAGUUCCUCUGUGAUGUCAUCGGCACACAGACCAGGAAGUUCCUCUGUGAUAUCGUCGUCGUCACACAGACCAGGAAGUUCCUCUGUGAUGUCAUCGUCGUCGUCGUCACACAGACCAGGAAGUUCCUCUGUGAUGUCAUCGUCGUCACACAGACCAGGAAGUUCCUCUGUGAUGUCGUCGUCGUCACACAGACCAGGAAGUUCCUCUGUGAUAUCGUCGUCGUCACACAGACCAGGAAGUUGAGCGCCGCCACACAGACCAGGAAGUUCCUCGGAGUCGCCGACACAGACCAGGAAGUUCCUUUUGGCGAAAAGACCAGGAAGUUCCUACAAGCACGUUUUUCUUACAAAUACAGCAGGUUAAAAAAUGAACAAGUUUGAUUGACAGACAGGAGGCGGGCCUAACCUUCUUUCAUUCAUGACUUGAUUGAGGGGGGCGGGACCAGAAAGACAACCCUAAAGUAUGUUUUUCAAAUUUCAAAAGAUUUUUUUGAAUUUAAAAUUUAAUUAAAGGGUCUUUCUAAAGAACCAAAAAUUAUGUUUUAUUUGGGUUAAAAUUUGAAAACAAAAAUAUGAAAGCUUAGAUUUUGAACAGAUUUUACGUCAAAGAAAAAGGUUAUUUUCUUAAUUCGGGUUCUAAAUAUUUGGUUGUUUUAGUUUUCUAUUUGUUCAUAGAUAUUAUUAAUACAGUUUAAGGCUAAACUGUAAAAUAUCAAGCCUCAAUUACAUUUGUCUUCCAUAAGUGUUUGAUACCGACAUCUUGGGAAUCACUGACAAUUACAAAUUAUAUAAAAAUAUAUAUAUUGACCAAAAUGUAUUGAUUUUUUUUUAACUCCCCAAUAUCGUGUCAUAAUCAGACCCCAGAGAUUUUUUUUCAAUCCAAUUAGAAAAUAAAACAUGAGAAAUCAAUAUUUCGCCCAGCCCCAGAAAAAAAUAUAUCAAAAUGAUUUUUUAUCUUCCAUCAGUUCCAGCUUUGACUAGUCGUGAAAUGGGCAGAAUUUUUUUCUCUCAAAACAAUUAAACAAAGAUAGUAAAAAAAGUUCCUUCCCCACAAAGUCUCAAAAACGUUCCGACUUCCUCUCACUUGUCCGGGCGUGGAACAGUGGUGCGUGGGCCACACGCGCGGCGAGCGCGGGCGAGGGCGGAACCGGGCGGAGGCGGAGUUCCACGGGUUCUCGAGGGGCCGAGGGGCCGACGCCACCAAGUCUCUGACGUUGAGUUUCGGGUCGACAGGAGCAAAGUUGUUAUGAAGUGUCGUGUCCGAGUCGGCGGGUUCGGACUGAGAGCUGCGCUUCGGGCGCGACGAGUGGAAGGCGGCGGAGGAGGGCGAGGCCAGGUGGUUGGCGUGUCCGUCGGUCAGAGCGUCGGUCAGAGCGGCGAUCGAGCGAAAAGAAAGCGUGUUAGGGGGAGGCGAAGGACGUGAACGGUGCAAGUCAACGGGUGGCGGGAGAUCACGAGGGGAUUCGUCUUCAUGGUCCCCCGCAGC
RNAcentral lists this long non-coding RNA (1629 nucleotides) under Scophthalmus maximus (turbot). RNAcentral's name for it is "lncRNA (ENSSMAG00000027154.1)". Lineage: Eukaryota; Metazoa; Chordata; Actinopteri; Pleuronectiformes; Scophthalmidae. The record is from RNAcentral.